GGGUUGUGAGGUUAAGCGACUAAGCGUACACGGUGGAUGCCCUGGCAGUCAGAGGCGAUGAAGGACGUGCUAAUCUGCGAAAAGCGUCGGUAAGGUGAUAUGAACCGUUACAGCCGGCGAUGUCCGAAUGGGGAAACCCAGUGCAAUUCGUUGCACUAUCGUUAACUGAAUACAUAGGUUAACGAGGCGAACCGGGGGAACUGAAACAUCUAAGUACCCCGAGGAAAAGAAAUCAACCGAGAUUCCCCCAGUAGCGGCGAGCGAACGGGGAGCAGCCCAGAGUCUGAAUCAGCUUGUGUGUUAGUGGAACGGUCUGGAAAGUCCGACGGUACAGGGUGAUAGUCCCGUACACCAAAAUGCACAGGCUGUGAACUCGAAGAGUAGGGCGGGACACGUGGUAUCCUGUCUGAAUAUGGGGGGACCAUCCUCCAAGGCUAAAUACUCCUGACUGACCGAUAGUGAACCAGUACCGUGAGGGAAAGGCGAAAAGAACCCCGGCGAGGGGAGUGAAAAAGAACCUGAAACCGUGUACGUACAAGCAGUGGGAGCACCUUCGGGUGUGACUGCGUACCUUUUGUAUAAUGGGUCAGCGACUUAUAUUCUGUAGCAAGGUUAACCGUAUAGGGGAGCCGCAGGGAAACCGAGUCUUAACUGGGCGUUAAGUUGCAGGGUAUAGACCCGAAACCCGGUGAUCUAGCCAUGGGCAGGUUGAAGGUUGGGUAACACUAACUGGAGGACCGAACCGACUAAUGUUGAAAAAUUAGCGGAUGACUUGUGGCUGGGGGUGAAAGGCCAAUCAAACCGGGAGAUAGCUGGUUCUCCCCGAAAGCUAUUUAGGUAGCGCCUCGUGAACUCAUCUUCGGGGGUAGAGCACUGUUUCGGCUAGGGGGUCAUCCCGACUUACCAACCCGAUGCAAACUACGAAUACCGAAGAAUGUUAUCACGGGAGACACACGGCGGGUGCUAACGUCCGUCGUGAAGAGGGAAACAACCCAGACCGCCAGCUAAGGUCCCAAAGUCAUGGUUAAGUGGGAAACGAUGUGGGAAGGCACAGACAGCCAGGAUGUUGGCUUAGAAGCAGCCAUCAUUUAAAGAAAGCGUAAUAGCUCACUGGUCGAGUCGGCCUGCGCGGAAGAUGUAACGGGGCUAAACCAUGCACCGAAGCUGCGGCAGCGACACUAUGUGUUGUUGGGUAGGGGAGCGUUCUGUAAGCCUGCGAAGGUGUGCUGUGAGGCAUGCUGGAGGUAUCAGAAGUGCGAAUGCUGACAUAAGUAACGAUAAAGCGGGUGAAAAGCCCGCUCGCCGGAAGACCAAGGGUUCCUGUCCAACGUUAAUCGGGGCAGGGUGAGUCGACCCCUAAGGCGAGGCCGAAAGGCGUAGUCGAUGGGAAACAGGUUAAUAUUCCUGUACUUGGUGUUACUGCGAAGGGGGGACGGAGAAGGCUAUGUUAGCCGGGCGACGGUUGUCCCGGUUUAAGCAUGUAGGCUGAUUGUCCAGGCAAAUCCGGAUAAUCAAGGCUGAGGUGUGAUGACGAGGCACUACGGUGCUGAAGUAACAAAUGCCCUGCUUCCAGGAAAAGCCUCUAAGCAUCAGGUAACAUUAAAUCGUACCCCAAACCGACACAGGUGGUCAGGUAGAGAAUACCAAGGCGCUUGAGAGAACUCGGGUGAAGGAACUAGGCAAAAUGGUGCCGUAACUUCGGGAGAAGGCACGCUGGUGUGUAGGUGAAGUCCCUGCGGAUGGAGCUGAGACCAGUCGAAGAUACCAGCUGGCUGCAACUGUUUAUUAAAAACACAGCACUGUGCAAACACGAAAGUGGACGUAUACGGUGUGACGCCUGCCCGGUGCCGGAAGGUUAAUUGAUGGGGUUAUCCGUAAGGAGAAGCUCUUGAUCGAAGCCCCGGUAAACGGCGGCCGUAACUAUAACGGUCCUAAGGUAGCGAAAUUCCUUGUCGGGUAAGUUCCGACCUGCACGAAUGGCGUAAUGAUGGCCAGGCUGUCUCCACCCGAGACUCAGUGAAAUUGAACUCGCUGUGAAGAUGCAGUGUACCCGCGGCAAGACGGAAAGACCCCGUGAACCUUUACUAUAGCUUGACACUGAACAUUGAGCCUUGAUGUGUAGGAUAGGUGGGAGGCUUUGAAGCGUGGACGCCAGUCUGCGUGGAGCCAACCUUGAAAUACCACCCUUUAAUGUUUGAUGUUCUAACGUUGGCCCCUGACCGGGGUUGCGGACAGUGUCUGGUGGGUAGUUUGACUGGGGCGGUCUCCUCCCAAAGCGUAACGGAGGAGCACGAAGGUUAGCUAAUCCUGGUCGGACAUCAGGAGGUUAGUGCAAUGGCAUAAGCUAGCUUGACUGCGAGCGUGACGGCGCGAGCAGGUGCGAAAGCAGGUCAUAGUGAUCCGGUGGUUCUGAAUGGAAGGGCCAUCGCUCAACGGAUAAAAGGUACUCCGGGGAUAACAGGCUGAUACCGCCCAAGAGUUCAUAUCGACGGCGGUGUUUGGCACCUCGAUGUCGGCUCAUCACAUCCUGGGGCUGAAGUAGGUCCCAAGGGUAUGGCUGUUCGCCAUUUAAAGUGGUACGCGAGCUGGGUUUAGAACGUCGUGAGACAGUUCGGUCCCUAUCUGCCGUGGGCGCUGGAGAAUUGAGGGGGGCUGCUCCUAGUACGAGAGGACCGGAGUGGACGCAUCACUGGUGUUCGGGUUGUCAUGCCAAUGGCACUGCCCGGUAGCUAAAUGCGGAAGAGAUAAGUGCUGAAAGCAUCUAAGCACGAAACUUGCCCCGAGAUGAGUUCUCCCUGAGACU
RNAcentral lists this ribosomal RNA (2803 nucleotides) under Klebsiella pneumoniae. RNAcentral describes it as "partial 23S ribosomal RNA". It matches the Rfam family "Bacterial large subunit ribosomal RNA". The record is from RNAcentral. Lineage: Bacteria; Pseudomonadati; Pseudomonadota; Gammaproteobacteria; Enterobacterales; Enterobacteriaceae.